GCCGCGUGUCUGGGAAGCAUGGUGCCACGGUUGGGCGCAGCACCGCUGAGCAGCCUUCUAGGCUUUGGGUGAUGAUAAGGUUGCGGAGCCUUUCUCUAGCUUCUGGGGAGAUGAGAAGCAGAGCUGCAGGUUGCAGUUUAAAAGUAACGGAACCGCAAAAUGAGAAGAGAUGGAUGCAAGCAGGACCUGGGGGUGGUCACCAGAAAGCAGAGAUGGCGUGAUGUCCCGGCACAUCCACCUCAUAAGUUGUUCGAAGUUAAGUUGAACUAUCCAUGGUAUUGGCUGUGGACUUGUGAAACCCAUCAUCUUAAAAUAUUGACCUUAAGAAUUUUUGUGAUGAAAUUUCUGUAAAUGGUGCAGUCUCUGCUUCAGUUGGAAAAGGACCCUCUAGCAGCCACAUUGUGGCAGGCACCAUGGACCUGAACCCCAAGUGGAAUCUCUCAUGUUAUCUCCCCGUGGUGCCAGACGGGAUCUGCACGGUCCUGCUUCUGCUAAUGCCUAUGAGUUAAUCCCACCCAGAUAGAAUCAUAAGAAUUUUUUUGGAUUUCAUCCUCAAAAAUAGCCAAGGAAUUUGAGUGACUGAGAUCACCAUCACCACUUUUAGCAGCUAGUGAAGUUGGGGUAUAACUAAAAAUAUCUGGACUUCAGUUUAGGUGGUCUGAGUAUAAUCUCAUGUAUAGAUGGGACUUCGGUGAUUGUAAAUUGAAAUUGUUAAUGUGCAUACAUUGUUGUAGGAAGCUAAGGGGAAACAAUGCUUGUCCUCAAAAAGCAUUUCUCAGUGGAUUUCCUGUGAAGUCAUUGUUUAAAAUUUUGAAGCACAAUUAAAGGUUCUGUUUUGUUGUAUUUUUUAUUCACUAGCAAUGUGGAUUUCAGAUUGAGACACAAAGUAAGAACAUUAUUUGUUCUAUGAUUCAAGAGAACAUUCUUAGGAGUUUCACAGAAUUUGAUCUUUUUUUUUUUUUUUUUCUAUAUUUGUACCUGCUAAAGUGAUGAUAUACUGCAUGUAUUGCCACCCACAAACAUUGCUUUUUUUACCUUAAAUCUAAUAAAACACUGAUAAAGGUA
Molecule: long non-coding RNA, 1065 nt
Organism: Marmota flaviventris (yellow-bellied marmot)
Lineage: Eukaryota; Metazoa; Chordata; Mammalia; Rodentia; Sciuridae
Source: RefSeq, a predicted model, not a curated record